UACGUAGGGUGCGAGCGUUAAUCGGAAUUACUGGGCGUAAAGCGUGCGCAGGCGGUUUUGUAAGACAGAGGUGAAAUCCCCGGGCUUAACCUGGGAACUGCCUUUGUGACUGCAAGGCUUGAGUGCGGCAGAGGGGGAUGGAAUUCCGCGUGUAGCAGUGAAAUGCGUAGAUAUGCGGAGGAACACCGAUGGCGAAGGCAAUCCCCUGGCCCUGCACUGACGCUCAUGCACGAAAGCGUGGGGAGCAAACAGG
RNAcentral lists this ribosomal RNA (253 nucleotides) under uncultured bacterium. RNAcentral describes it as "partial 16S ribosomal RNA". It matches the Rfam family "Bacterial small subunit ribosomal RNA", at positions 524 to 776 of the family's 1533-position model. The record is from RNAcentral.